This 481-nucleotide ribosomal RNA is filed under the name uncultured bacterium. RNAcentral's name for it is "partial 16S ribosomal RNA". It matches the Rfam family "Bacterial small subunit ribosomal RNA", at positions 28 to 507 of the family's 1533-position model. The record is from RNAcentral.
GAUGAACGCUGGCGGCGUGCUUAACACAUGCAAGUCGAACGAAGCAUUUAGGACAGAUUACUUAGGUUUGAAGUUCUUUAUGACUGAGUGGCGGACGGGUGAGUAACGCGUGGGUAACCUGCCUUGUACUGGGGGAUAGCAGCUGGAAACGGCUGGUAAUACCGCAUAAGCGCACAAUGUUGCAUGACAUGGUGUGAAAAACUCCGGUGGUAUAAGAUGGACCCGCGUCUGAUUAGCUAGUUGGUGAGAUAACAGCCCACCAAGGCGACGAUCAGUAGCCGACCUGAGAGGGUGACCGGCCACAUUGGGACUGAGACACGGCCCAGACUCCUACGGGAGGCAGCAGUGGGGAAUAUUGCACAAUGGAGGAAACUCUGAUGCAGCGACGCCGCGUGAGUGAAGAAGUAAUUCGUUAUGUAAAGCUCUAUCAGCAGGGAAGAUAGUGACGGUAUCUGACUAAGAAGCUCCGGCUAAAUACGUG